Molecule: long non-coding RNA, 1502 nt
Filed under: Anas platyrhynchos platyrhynchos (common mallard)
Lineage: Eukaryota; Metazoa; Chordata; Aves; Anseriformes; Anatidae
Description: lncRNA (ENSAPLG00000018689.1)
Source: RNAcentral
GCUAAGCUGUGUGCCCCAAUAAUCACGUUCUCCUUUUAAUAACGUAAAAUAAUAGUAAAUAAAAACAGCACCAAACUCCGGAAAACACUCUCAAAGGUCUUUUCUCCUGAGGAUCUGCCAUCUGAGGUUUUCUGCAGCUGUGCAAGAAUUAUUGAAGAACUGGCACGUGAGGAGAAUAAUCAAUCUUUGAAAUGUUCCAGACUAAUCCUGAUUUUUAAUCCUCUCACACAUCACACCACCAUGAGAGACCUUACAUUUUAGGGAUACAGUACUGCUGUCUAGUGCUAAUACUAUCCUCAUUGCCAGUUAGUUACAUAAGCUGACAGAAAACAGAGCAUGUGUCCUUGCAUUUUAAGCUCUAGAGACGUUCUCCUUUUCUGAGUUCUCAAAGCUGUAAGCUGUUUUGCAGACAAAGUUGUGCAGCAUAUUUGGCUGAAAAACUACAAUUACCCUUAAAGUACAUCUUUCUCAGCAACUCAAAGCACCAGUGAAUUCUGUUAUGUAUUGUAAUGCAUCAAAGAUCCAUUAGCUCGCAAACUGAUCAAGUAUUUAAGUUUAUUAAUAUGAAGUGUUGUGAUUCAAACUUCCAUUAUGAUCUCUUCUUAGAACUAAAGAAAGAAUAAAACAUUUGAACAAAAUAAUUAUUUUCUUUAUUGUUUUAGCUUUUUUUUUUUCUUUCUUGAUUCCAGAUUACCUUUGAAGCUUAUUUCAUGAGCUAUCUAAUUCUGGUUAGACUGCUAAACCAGGCUCCUCCUGAAGAGCAGCAUGGUGGAACUUGUCAUCUUUAUGAAUGGCAGAGACCUUCCUGCGGAGAAAACAAGUUGAGACCUGGGAAUGGUGAUGCUGAAGGGCAGCAAGUGAGUGAGUAUGUCAGAUGAUCAGGUAAGAUAGAAGCUCUAAUCUUUUUUGGUUCUGAAAUCAGCUUCACUGUUCAGAUCCUCUGUGGGUUGUCGUUUACUGUUGCACCAGGCUAGCCAGUACAUACAAGCUGAAUAAUUAACUCCUUAGUUAGAGAGAAGACCUGCUGAGAUCAGACUGCAGUUUUUCAUUCAGCAAUACAUUUCAGACCCUCCCUCUCAGCUAUUCAGCUUCUAAUUUUCUCAAAAUGUGAAAGAAUGUGCAUUUUUUUUUUCAGUUAAGCUUGCUCCUUCUUCCAUGCUCUCACCAAACUGGGUCAAAAUAAUCCAGGAGGUCCAAAAGUGACUGGGGACGUGUACUGGGUCUGUCUGGGACAGAGUUAACUUUCCCUGCAGCAGUCCAUAUAGUGGUGUGCUCUGCACCUGUAGCUAGAACAGCAUUGGUAUCACUCCAGUGUUGUGUGUACUUCUGAGCAGUGCUGGCACUGCAUCAGAACUUCCUCCAACCCCUCCAGAGCCAGAAGGCUGGGGUGGGCAAAAGGCAAGGAAGGAACAUCACCAGGGCAGCUGACCUAAACCAACCAACGGAUAUUCCAUACCAUGUGGUGUCACACUCAGCAAUAAAAGGCAGAAAAAGAAAGAACA